This 251-nucleotide ribosomal RNA is filed under the name uncultured bacterium. RNAcentral describes it as "partial 16S ribosomal RNA". It matches the Rfam family "Bacterial small subunit ribosomal RNA", at positions 525 to 775 of the family's 1533-position model. The record is from RNAcentral.
ACGGAGGAUCCGAGCGUUAUCCGGAUUUAUUGGGUUUAAAGGGCGCGUCGGCGGACUUUUAAGUCAGCUGUGAAAGUUUGCGGCUCAACCGUAAAAUUGCAGUUGAGACUGGGAGUCUUGAGUAAAGUAAAGGUUGGCGGAAUUCGUGGUGUAGCGGUGAAAUGCUUAGAGAUCACGAAGAACUCCAAUUGCGAAGGCAGCUGACUGGAAUUUAACUGACGCUGAUGCACGAAAGUGUGGGUAUCAAUCAG